Molecule: non-coding RNA, 3078 nt
Organism: Pantherophis guttatus
Lineage: Eukaryota; Metazoa; Chordata; Lepidosauria; Squamata; Colubridae
Source: RefSeq, a predicted model, not a curated record
ACAUAAAAUUAGAGUACCAUUUAUUUGGUAUUUGAUUGCUUUGUUUUAUAUGUGGUCUUUAUUUUGUUCAAUAAAGGCUCCUUUUUUCCAACUUCAAGAACAACUCAGUAAAAUGAAUGGGAUUGAGAGAGAGUAACUGGCCCCAAAUCACCUAGCCGGUUUCUACACCUAAGGGAGGACUAGAACUCACAAUCACCUUGUUUCUAGUCCAGCAUCUUGUUGCCAGACACAUUACAAAUAUAAUUAAAUAAUUAAAUAUGUAAUAAUGAACAUUAAAAGUAGGUGUCACAAAAUAUUCCAAUUUGCUAUUUCUGAAUUUGUAUGCUUUAUUUAUUCUAGUCCAUUAGGUUAAUUAGAUAAGAAAUGCAAAUAAAGAAGAUUCAUCGAUAUUAGCAAGACUGCUACUUAUUAGUGAGUCAUGCUACUCAAUUACAUUACUACUGUGGAAAGGAUUUUGACCAUCGUAUUAAUCCCAAUAUAGUGGAUUAUACUGGAUUAUAUCAAUAAAGUAAGAAAACAGAGUCCAUAUAUCAACAUUUAUGCCAAAGGUUUACAUCAUUUAGGUUCUGUUUUCCCCAUAAUGUGAAUGUACAAGUGCACAACUUGGUGAUGAGAACUUUGUGAUACAUGGCUUAAAGCAAACAACUGAGGUCAAUAACAAACUAGGAAGACUAGAUUGUUAAUAUAUUUUUCAGAACUAUUGUAGGUAUUCUACCUGUAGUCUCCAGAAUCAAACACAAGGAACUUCCAUUCUUUCCUACAAUCAGGGAUACAAGGACAAAAUAAAAGGUAAGCAAGGGAGCAUUGUGGUCUGGGGAAUUCAGGCUUUAAAUCAGGUCUAUUAAAAUCAUAGCCCCAAAACCAUCUCUGAGAUUUGUAGAACAAGGCAACACACAAGAUUACAGUCUGUUUUUAUCUGCUCCUUCAGGAAUAUGUGGAUAGUAUGUAGUGGCUAAACAAUGUUGUCUCAUUUUUUUGAGAGGACAGUCUGAGAGACCUUGUUCUAACAAAAGCUCAGAGCUCUGCAUGGGGUAGACAGUGGGGGACCCAGUUUCUUUUCUUAUUGAAAAAUGGAUACGGAGCCAAACACUGCUAACUCAUUAUUUCUUACAGAGCCAAGGCACAUAGCUGCAGAACAAAUUAUAAACCACAAAUCAAGUUUUGUUCGGUUCCCCAUGGAUGGACAUCAGUGCAGCCAUCCAACACUCCCAGAAGCAUAAGUAUUUCUCACCAGGACUUCCACAGAUUGCAAAAGAAGAUAUAAUAGCAGCUGUUCCAUUCUGAAGUUGCUAUCUUUGUCCUGAGAAUCUUGGGCCUUUCACAGAUGGAAAUGUAACAGGUGCAGUUGUAGCCAGAAAAAAAAAAACCAUGACGGAAAUAUCUGCAUCUGUUACUUGGCUAUCUUUUCAGGACCUUCCAUGAAAGAAUGCAUUGUAUGUCAUUAACAUUUUUCAAUAAAAGUUGUGAUCUUUCAGCUAUGGCUCUGUUCUUGCAAUUGGUGGCAGAUAUGGGUCCCUCUCACUUGUUGCUCAUUUCAGAUAUUUCCAAAUAGAUGCUUUAGCAUAAGAACUUACCUCUGUUUUGAUCAUCUUACUACUAAGAAUGUCACAAGAAAAAUGUUUUUAUAUUUGUGUGGGUGUUUCAAUGAUACUGUUAAGAAAUUAUGCUUAGUGUAUUAAGUUCUGCCUGUUGACAGAAAGCUAGAAUCUAGAUGUCAUAAAUUAAUAGAUUAAUAAAAGUAUUCUAUUGACAAAGUUUCCUUUCUAUCUGGUUCUGGCUGUUUGUGGUUAUAAUCCUACCACCCUCAUAGAGCUUUUCAUGAAAGGGAUAUUAAAUUUGCUUUGUGCUAUAUAUAGGAAACUGCAUGUUAGAUUCUGUGAUGUCAUUAUUUUGUUCUUUCCACUAGUACUUUUAGCACUUUUCAAGCAUGGGUAAAUGGCAUAGAACCCUUGUUCUAUGCCAAUUGGCAUAGGACAGUUAGCCCUUGUUGAAGGACUACUUGUUCAGCCAAUGUCUGAAGUUACGAUGGUGCUGAACAAUGGAUCCUUGUAGUAACAGCUGUUGCAGCAUCUCUACAGUCACCUGAUUGCAGUUUGGGUGCUUGGCAACUAGCUUGCAAUUACUACAUUGCAGCACCCCAUGUUAACAUGAUCACCAUGUGUGAUACCUGCUGCCAGCUUUCAACAAGCAAAGUCAAUGGGGAAGCUGGAAAGAUGUUGCAAACAGCGAUCACAUGACCACGGGAUGCUGCAACCGUGCAGUAUUCACCUAAUGACCGCAAUUGGGAUUGCUGCAACUGCUGUCAGAUGGCACAGUCAUGUGACAUCACACUUUAUGACUGUGUUGCUCAGUGAUGGAGUUGCCGGUCCCAAAAUACUAUCGUUAAGCAAGGACUAACUGUAUAGUUACAUAGGUUCUAAUAGUAUUCCCAUAUUUUUCUGUUAUUACUACUAUCACUGGAUUGUGUUAUACCUUCAUUUUCAUCUCACAUACGUUUUGUUGAAUAAAUGUCAUCUUCUUUUGCAAGAAGUUUGUCCCCCCAAGAUAACUUGACCGGGGCUGCUUUUUGUUUAGAAAGCUGUCUUCAUGAUAAAUUUAUAAUUCUCAUAGGAUACUUUUUAAAAAAAUAUUUAGAGCAAUGGCAAUUUCUCUACCUCUCUUUGUGUCUUUAUGUGCUAUCCUAGAGAAUAGGAUAGAAUCUCUUCUCUAUUCUUUUUACAUAUCUGUUACAGCUAAUGAAAAAUGCGUUCUGUAUUUUUUUAAAAAAUAAGAUAGCAUGUGAUAAAUAUUCACUGAUUUUUUUUCUUUUGAAGUUACAUUAAUUCUCCAGCUUACUCUUAAAGCUUUGUAAAUGUCCUUGAUUUACAUAAAAUAUUCAGGGGAAACAAACUAUUAUUACCAUGAUUAUUUUCUCUCUAAUGCUGAACUUCAAAUUUGAAAUUCAUUAAAUAGUUAUACGUACUGUUAACAUUUGUGUGCAAUGCAUUUUUUAUUGUUAGCUCUGCUGAAGAAAUAAACUUAUGCAUGGAACAUUAAUUUUCUGGAUGUAAUUAAAGAAUAUUGAUUACUUAUUAACUA